AGAAUUUUAAGUUAAAGAAACUAUAAGUUUUCAAAACUUAUUAUAUAUAAAAAGUUAUUUAAAUUCUG
Molecule: transfer RNA, 68 nt
Filed under: Opisthoteuthis massyae
Lineage: Eukaryota; Metazoa; Mollusca; Cephalopoda; Octopoda; Opisthoteuthidae
Description: tRNA-Trp
Source: RNAcentral